GGUCAGUGAUGAACAGUAAAAGGUCUGAUUACCCACAAUCCCCUCCUGCUGCCUCUGGCUCCCAGCAGCCCUGCUUUCUGCUCCCAUCAUGCUCUAGUGAUGCAGCAGUGGGCCCAGCAGCUGCUGACAUACAGGAUGUGACAUCAUGGCAGGGUCUGUACAGAGAUCCCACAGGCUGUCUGUGAUGAUGUGAUCCAACAGAACCAGAAUCAGGAUGGAGCAUCGGGCUAAGGAGGAGGAUGAGCAGGGAGCUGAUCUCAAGUUUUCAAGCUGAGACC
RNAcentral lists this small nucleolar RNA (278 nucleotides) under Amphilophus citrinellus (Midas cichlid). RNAcentral's name for it is "Small Cajal body specific RNA 6 (ENSACIG00000006960.1)". It matches the Rfam family "Small Cajal body specific RNA 6". From Rfam's summary of the family: U88 is small Cajal body specific RNA (scaRNA). scaRNAs are a novel class of small nuclear RNAs which localise to the Cajal bodies. U88 is found associated with both fibrillarin and Gar1p and co-localises with coilin in Cajal bodies. The record is from RNAcentral. Lineage: Eukaryota; Metazoa; Chordata; Actinopteri; Cichliformes; Cichlidae.